Molecule: transfer RNA, 86 nt
Filed under: Xenopus laevis (African clawed frog)
Lineage: Eukaryota; Metazoa; Chordata; Amphibia; Anura; Pipidae
Rfam family: tRNA
About the family: Transfer RNA (tRNA) molecules are approximately 80 nucleotides in length. Their secondary structure includes four short double-helical elements and three loops (D, anti-codon, and T loops).
Source: Rfam by way of RNAcentral
CCUUCGAUAGCUCAGCUGGUAGAGCGGAGGACUGUAGAGGAGAUACAGAAAUCCUUAGGUCACUGGUUCGAUUCCGGUUCGAAGGA